RNA transcript from Micropterus dolomieu (smallmouth bass), 3286 nucleotides. It is a transcript of the gene named 5'-AMP-activated protein kinase subunit gamma-2-like, with no coding region annotated. The record is from RefSeq and is a predicted model, not a curated record. NCBI's taxonomy places the organism in Eukaryota, Metazoa, Chordata, Actinopteri, Centrarchiformes, Centrarchidae. The transcript is spliced from 16 exons.
GUGACAUAACACCUGUAAACAGUCCGUGUUGAAACUCAUUUGAAGAUGCGUGCUGAGUGCUCUGCCUCUUUUCACUGCCGAGCCUAACGUUACUUCCUGGUGGAUGAGACAGCGCCUCAGUGUUGUCGUAGUAAGCAGACUGGGCAACUGAAGUGAAGGUGGAGGCGGCUGUUGAUGGUCAGCAGUCACAUUACAGCAGUUAACGAGCACACUUUUUUCUGUUUUCGCUCCUUUGAAGACAAAAAUGGGAAGCACGGUGAUGGAGUCCAGCAAGGAGAGCUCAAAGAAAAUACCAAAGAAGAGGAGAAGUCUGAGGAUUAACAUGCCAGAGUUGGGUGCGUUUACUUCCCCACAAGUGGAGACGAGUGGCUCCACCAAAAGUGGUGCUCAGACGGGAGAGCGCCACAUCCGAUCAGCCAGCCCCACCAAGGGAGUGUCUGCCAGGAGCCCAGCCAGCGCCCUUCUCCCCCCAUGUCCUCAUUCAGCUCCAGUGCAAUCGAAGACCAGCUCAGGUUCACCCAAAACUAUCUUCCCCUACCCCCCCCAUCAGAACCCCUCUCCCAAGUCCCCCCAUCGCCUAAGCUUCAGUGGUAUCUUCCGCUCCUCAUCCAGCUCCACACCUGCAAGCAUCAAAAUUUUCUCCAGAACCAGGAGAGCCUCAGGACUCUCCACACCACCCGCCACCCCAACCCAGUCAUCUAGCCAGCCUGUGUUCUCCCAGGAGGCCCAGUCAAGCAGGCCCAGCCCUGAACGCCUGGAGAUGAGCUCCCGAUCCCGCUCGCUCUUCACACCUCCAGACACAGGACAGCGCCUCACCCUUCCCUCUGCUAAACCACCGAUCACUUCCUUGAGCCCCGUGCCAUCUACCUCACAACAAGUCUACGGUUUAUUCGAAGGCAUGCUGGAGAAACUUGAACUAGAUGAUGAUGCUGCUGAACCUGAGAGUGAUAUUUACAUGCGCUUUAUGAAAUCCCACAAGUGCUACGACAUCGUCCCCACAAGUUCCAAGCUGGUUGUGUUCGACACGGCACUCCAAGUUAAGAAAGCUUUCUUUGCCUUGGUAGCCAACGGUGUGCGAGCUGCUCCACUAUGGGACACAGAGAAGCAAAGUUUUGUGGGAAUGCUGACAAUCACAGAUUUCAUCAUCAUACUACACAGAUACUAUAAGUCACCGAUGGUGCAAAUUUAUGAAUUAGAGGAACAUAAGCUUGAGACAUGGAGAGAGGUUUACCUUCAAGCAACAUUCAAACCUCUGGUCAACAUAUCACCUGAUGCAAGCCUGUUUGAUGCAGUGUACACCCUCAUCAAAAACAAAAUUCACCGCCUGCCUGUCAUCGACCCCGUCACGGGGAACGCACUUUAUAUUCUCACACACAAGAGGAUCCUCAAGUUCCUCCAGCUUUUUAUGUGUGAAAUGCCAAAGCCAGCUUUCAUGAAGCAGACUCUCGGGGAGCUGGGCAUUGGCACGUACCAUGACAUUGCUUUCAUCCAUGCGGACACACCCAUCAUCAAAGCACUCAACAUCUUUGUGGAGAGACGAGUGUCUGCCCUGCCUGUGGUGGAUGAGUCUGGCAAAGUUGUGGACAUUUACUCAAAGUUUGAUGUGAUUAACUUGGCUGCUGAGAAGACGUACAACAACCUGGACAUCACAGUGACACAGGCUCUGAAACAUCGCUGUCAGUACUUCGAAGGAGUCAUGAAGUGCCACAAAAUGGAAACAAUGGAGACAAUUGUGGACAGAAUAGUCAAAGCUGAAGUGCAUCGUUUGGUGGUGGUGGACGAGCGCUCCAGCAUCGAAGGCAUCGUCUCUCUGUCAGACAUCCUCCAGGCCCUGGUGCUCAGCCCUGCAGGUAUAGAUGCUCAGCAUUGCUAGCACCAACUCCCCUUCUGUCCUGGACCCUGAGCUCUCUCCCCACCCUGCCCUCUAACCCUGUCCUGGAUGCCUGUAAGGAGGAAAACCUGACUGAGUGAGAGGGAGGAAGCAUCAGCUGGUGGAGUCAUGGGAGGAAAUAAGUUUGGGGUUGGCUUGAGGUAAUAAUGUUAGUGUAGGGAGCGUGAGGUUGAGUAGAGCCAGCCUAAAGGUUCCAGCAGCGCCUUCAACUGAUGCACUAAAGAGGCUUAGAAACCAAAGAGCUAGACAGCUAAAUGAAGUGGAGUUCCUGCACUGAGGUUUGAUUUAUCUGAAUUAUUUUAGUUUUUGUUUGCUUGAACACUGAUCAGAUGCAUUAUGGUCACCAGCCGGGGAAAGAUGGGAAAGACUGGUUCUAAUGAGUUAGGGCUUCUGUGUUUUGGAGUGUGUAGUUGCUGCUGUAAUCUGAUUUUAUUUUUUUCACAUUUUGUAGUAUAUUACGAAGGUCAUCACCUCGGUGUUUUGGUAUAGAAAGGUGAACAUUCACAGAUGCAACUUAUGUUUGGUAGCAAAACUUUCACCUGCAAUGUGGCCAUUUUUUGACAUUUGCCAGUGCCAAUACAGAGAGAUUGAUGCACAAUCUUUAUUUGUGCCUUUAGUUUGCCUUGCCCACACCAGUUAAGUAUUUGUCUUUUGACAUUUAUUGUCAAAUAAGUGGAAUUAUUUGGAUUAAAAAAAUGUUAAUGAAUGUAUUAUAAGUAGCAAAUUCUACCUUCUAAAUCAAAUCAUUUCAUUUCCUUUUUUUUAUUUUGUUGCAUUUUCUGUGUCAGAAGUGUCAAGAAUUUCAUUUGAAUAGAUCCAAUUCUGAAAAGAAAAUGCUUUCCACAGAAACACGCAGUGGUCAGAGGCAAAUACAAAUAUACAUUAAUAAGGAUCAGCCAAGAGCUAUGAGUGAGUACUUCGCACUAAUUUUACAUCAUAGUGAUUUAGUCAUUGCGGCUUAAGGAUGCAUUUUUGUAAUGGUAUUACAAGACCGUCUUUUAGAUGUUUAGAAACUUUAUUUCUUUGCAUUUAUUUUCAGUUUUGACACUUCAGACAAUCUGAUACUCAAAAACUUGCAAAUCAACUGUUAUCUCAGCUGUAGCUCGACAGGACUCAUCUCCAUCUUUGACUGUGUAAAUAGGAUCGUUUUCGGGAAACGUAUCUCACAAAGCUUUAUUUUUAUGAAUGUGUCAACAUGUUUAAAGAGACUGCAGUUUUAAUGUUAUUUUUGUAAAUAUCUUGUGGCAAUAUGUCCAGUUCAAAGAGACUUUGUAACAGAUCAACAUGUACUGUAAAUGUGCAAGCAUGAGAAACUACACUUAGGCAGUAUGAAUGUUCUUUGUUUUACUUUUUCUAUUUUUCUGGCUGCGGAAAAAUAAAUGGACACUGAAUGUA